ACUGUAAUAUUGAAAAUAACAAGUUAUAAAUUUUAAAGUAGAUUCUUACACCUUCAAAAUUAGAAUGAAUUCAUUUUAUUCAUUCCGGAACUCACUAGCUAACAUUUUAUUUAUGUACACGUACAUACAUGUGCAAGUUAAUGCCACCGCUCACACAUAGCACUUAACUGUAAAAUAAACAUAAUGGUUUAAUUGAAAUAUAAUGCUAAGCAAUAACAAAAUAUCGCCAAUCAAUAUUUGUAAACAGAUUUCUGUAUGAAAUCAAUCCAAUAGACUCAAGGCUAAAGAAUUUCAUCACAUGAUGAAAUUCAUAUUAAAUAAACAAUAGAAAUAGUAUAAAUAGGCUUAAGUGUAAAAUGUAAGGGGUUCUUUGUUCUUUGUUCUUUGGCUGUAAGAGGACAAUCAAAUAAGUAUUUCAGAAUAAAAUGAAUAAAUAAAAAGCAACAGUUUAAUUUGUUUUUUUUUAAAAACCUCUCACAAUCGUGCUAAAAAAUAAGUGGCGAUCCUGCCAGGAGAUGUGAAAAAAUCUCUUGGACUUAAAUAAAAUUUUUUUUUGGCAACUAAAAAAGGAGACAAAAAUCUCCAGUUGUCCAAAAAAUAAAGAGACAAGUAUCGUAAUAAAUACGAGAAAAGUGAAACAAAAACUGAGUAACAAAUAAAGGAGACAAAAAUCUCCAGUUGCUUAAUUACAAGAAACAAGUAUCGUAAUAAAUACGAGAAAGGUGAAACAAAAACCGAAAAAAACUAAGUAACAAAUAAAGGAGACAAAAAUCUCCAGUUGCUUAAUUACAAGAAAUAAGUAUCGUGAAUAAAAUAAUACGAGAAAAAAUAUAUAAAAACAAAAAAGAAGGAAGAAAAAACUUUGAACGUGAAAAAAAUAAAUUAUUAUUAACGGCGGUACCGACGAGGCAGCAACCAGGAAUAAAUAUAAUUUUUUAGAUAUCAGAGAUACAAUAUGCCGAUGUAAGAGAACCAAUAGCAAACUCACGUGCAAGUGAGAAUUUAGAGCAACGUAAUCAGUAUAUUAACAUCAUGGCAAAGAGAUGCACGUCAACGAGUGACUGACGCUCACAAAGCAAAUGACCGAUAGACUUUUCAUCUCAUCCGCUAUUUAUGGUUGGUAGUAUGGACAAAGAAUGUCAAUAUUGUCAUGCUUUUAAAUGCAAAGGUGAAUCGGCUGGUUUAUGUUGCGCAUCAGGAAAAAUUUCACUGCCAUCACUGAUGCCGCCAUCAGAAUCUUUGAAAACGCUAUUUGCUGGGAACACAUCUCAAUCAAAGUUAUUUUUGCGCAACAUUCGUAAAUUUAAAUCUUGUUUCCAAACGACCUCAAAUGAAGCAACAAUAUUGAAAAUGGUCGCAAUUUUGAAACUACAUUGAAGAUUCAAAGCCAAGUGUGCCACCAAAUAGAUUCAUUGCCUGACGCCGAUACACAAUUCUUACAAAUUUACUUCAUGGGCGAUGAGAAAAAACAAGCUAAUACAUGCUGUGCAUACAAUCGUAUAGAGCACAUGGAGGAACAAGAAGUCGUUGAAAUUUUGGAAACGUUCUUGAAAAACAAUAACCAAUUAGUACGAUUAUUCCAGUCUCUCUUAAACAGACUGCAAAACGACAACUGCGUCAUUGUCAUUAAGGCCGACAAAGUGCCUAAUGGAGAGCAUACAGGCAAAUAUAACGUUCCAACUGUGAAUGAAGUUGCAGUUGUUAUGGGUCGUGAUCCAACUGGACGUCGAGAUAUACGUAUACAACGCAGAGAUAAUACAGUGCAAAUAAUUCAAGACAAUCAUGGAUAUCAUUUAAUAUCAAACAAAGUAAUCUAACUACAGGUAAAGUACUGGCCAAGAAUGUUAGUGCAAUGAACUUCUAUGUGAUACGUCCUAAUGAAGAUAAUAACAUUCAAACAAACAACAAACAAAACAAAACUUCGCUCUGAGGAAUACGUUCAGUUGGGUGACGCCAUUAUCGGCAACGUAGAUAGAACAAAUAACAUUAACAACAAAGGCACCGCAUAUAUUUUUCCAACACACACUGGUAGUACAUGUCAUAUGCAAGAAUAUAUUCAAGACGCAAUGAUUUACAUACGAGCAUACAUUUACAUGUAAUGAAAACUGGAAUGAAAUUAAAAAUUUGCUGUUGCCAAAUCAAACAUCGAUCCAUCGCCAUGAUGUCACUGCACGUUUGUUCAAACAAAAACUAAAAUCUUUAUUAAAUUUGAUUACACAUCACUCAAUAUUUGGCGAAACACGUUACUGACUUAACUGUGUAGAAUGGCAAAAACGAGCAUUGCCACAUGCGUAUAUUUUGAUUUGGUUAGUGGAUAAAGUGCGCCCAGAAGAAAUAGAUAUCAAUAUUUCAGCGGAAACUCCGGAUCCAAAUGUUGAUCAAGAAUUUUUUGAUAUUGUGGUUACUAACAUGAUUCAUGGGCCGUGUGGAACUUUAAAUAUUAUAUCACCAAUGAUGAAAUCACACGUUAUCAAAUAGUCGUAACGAAGCAAUUUGGCGCAUUUCUGGUUAACCUAUACAUGAGAGAGAUCCAGCCGUUAUAAAUUUGGCUGUGCAUCUUGAAAAUGAAUAGACCGCAGUACAACGAGCUUUAACAGCUCCAAAAACAAAUUCAAUGGUAUUGUAUGCAAUACUUUCUUUGAUGCCUGUCGUGAGUUACAUUUGUUGGAAGAUGAUAAUCACUGGGAUCUCACACUUGCAGAUACAGCACUGAGUUCAUCGCCACACCAAAUCCGUCCAUUAUAUUAAAUAAUAUUAACAACGUGUUUUCCGUCUGAAGCAUCUACAUUGUGGAACAAAUAUAAAAACUCAAUGAGUGAACAUGCCGAUCAUUCUCUUUGGCAUGCCAGCACCCAAUCGCCCAGCAGCAGAUAUUAUUAACAGCGAUGCUCAAUACGAACAGCAGUUUGAUAGAAACUCUUUGGCUGCUUUUGUUGUUACGAACAGAUUGGCUUACCUAUAAUUUUGCCUCGAAAGUGAAUUUGCCUAAGUUGUGUAAUGGAACGCGAUUAGCCAUAAAAAAAAUCAUGGGCAACAUUCUUGAAGCCACUAUUUUGGGAGGAAAAUUUGAAGGUGAAGUUGUACUUCUACCAUGGAUUCCUAUGAUUCCUUCAGAUCUACCGAUACCAUACAAACGGUUACAAUUUUCUAUCCGUUUGGCAUUUGCGAUGACUUAAUACAGCGCAAGGUCAAACAAUGACGAUUUGUGAACUAGAUUUAGUAAAUCCGUGCUUUUCUCAGGGCCAAUUAUACGUUGCGUGAGGAAACCAUCGAAUUUGUUUGUUUAUAUCACUCAAGCAAUAACCAAAAAUAUUGUACAUCCGAUGGCAUUACGAUAAUUUCAGUAUUUGUAGAUAACUAACUCAAAGAAUAAAUACGUUUUAUAAAAUAGUUUAAGAUUGAACAUUAUCACUUUCAAUUGAAACAACUUUAUUUAUUAAACACAGAUGUAGAAGCUAACAAUCUCUGAAGGCAUACUAAUACACAUACUUACAUGCUAUCGAUUGGUUGAAUUGUGAUAAAUACAUAUGAAUGACGUUAGGUAUAGUAAUAAGUUUGUAUUAAAAAAUUUUAUUAAAACGGUCUCAUUGUUUAGAUUUAAGACGUAUGGACAGGACAACGUUUGUCGGGUCCGCUAGUAAAUGUAUAUGUGUUUAUGCAUAGAAUGUGUACCUCUGCAUAUAGACAAUAUGAACACAAACUCUUUUGUAGCCCUCUAAUUUUUGGGUUUGGUUCAUUAUUCCCGCAUUUCGCAUCGUUUUGACCCGCCCGGUGAUCGCAACUAUGAGCGAGUGGUUGGCGAAAAGGAACACAAAAACAUACACACAUUAAUUUUUGCAUAUACUUAAGUACGAUUAUUUACAUACAAAGGGGACGUGUUAAUAUCUGAAUAGCUUAACAUCUUGUAUUUAGUUUUAGCUGUAACUUGUUAAACUUGAAAUUAAUUAUUAUUAUAGCCAAUCUAUGUCACUAUAAAUAAAUUGGAUGUACGAAAUAUUAUAAUAUCCCA
Ceratitis capitata (Mediterranean fruit fly) is the source of this 4009-nucleotide long non-coding RNA. RefSeq lists it as uncharacterized. NCBI's taxonomy places the organism in Eukaryota, Metazoa, Arthropoda, Insecta, Diptera, Tephritidae. The transcript has 2 exons. The record is from RefSeq and is a predicted model, not a curated record.